RNAcentral lists this ribosomal RNA (903 nucleotides) under uncultured bacterium. RNAcentral's name for it is "bacterial SSU rRNA". It matches the Rfam family "Bacterial small subunit ribosomal RNA", at positions 52 to 949 of the family's 1533-position model. The record is from RNAcentral.
CACAUGCAAGUCGAGGGGCAGCAUAAUGGAUAGCAAUAUCUAUGGUGGCGACCGGCGCACGGGUGCGUAACGCGUAUGCAACCUACCUUUAACAGGGGGAUAACACUGAGAAAUUGGUACUAAUACCCCAUAAUAUCAUAGAAGGCAUCUUUUAUGGUUGAAAAUUCCGAUGGUUAGAGAUGGGCAUGCGUUGUAUUAGCUAGUUGGUGGGGUAACGGCUCACCAAGGCGACGAUGCAUAGGGGGACUGAGAGGUUAACCCCCCACACUGGUACUGAGACACGGACCAGACUCCUACGGGAGGCAGCAGUGAGGAAUAUUGGUCAAUGGACGCAAGUCUGAACCAGCCAUGCCGCGUGCAGGAUGACGGCUCUAUGAGUUGUAAACUGCUUUUGUACGAGGGUAAACGCAGAUACGUGUAUCUGUCUGAAAGUAUCGUACGAAUAAGGAUCGGCUAACUCCGUGCCAGCAGCCGCGGUAAUACGGAGGAUUCAAGCGUUAUCCGGAUUUAUUGGGUUUAAAGGGUGCGUAGGCGGUUUGAUAAGUUAGAGGUGAAAUUUCGGGGCUCAACCCUGAACGUGCCUCUAAUACUGUUGAGCUAGAGAGUAGUUGCGGUAGGCGGAAUGUAUGGUGUAGCGGUGAAAUGCUUAGAGAUCAUACAGAACACCGAUUGCGAAGGCAGCUUACCAAACUAUAUCUGACGUUGAGGCACGAAAGCGUGGGGAGCAAACAGGAUUAGAUACCCUGGUAGUCCACGCAGUAAACGAUGAUAACUCGUUGUCGGCGAUACACAGUCGGUGACUAAGCGAAAGCGAUAAGUUAUCCACCUGGGGAGUACGUUCGCAAGAAUGAAACUCAAAGGAAUUGACGGGGGCCCGCACAAGCGGAGGAACAUGUGGUUUAA